GAUGGACGCUGGCGGCGUGCCUAAUACAUGCAAGUCGAGCGAACGGACGAGAAGCUUGCUUCUCUGAUGUUAGCGGCGGACGGGUGAGUAACACGUGGAUAACCUACCUAUAAGACUGGGAUAACUUCGGGAAACCGGAGCUAAUACCGGAUAAUAUUUUGAACCGCAUGGUUCAAAAGUGAAAGACGGUCUUGCUGUCACUUAUAGAUGGAUCCGCGCUGCAUUAGCUAGUUGGUAAGGUAACGGCUUACCAAGGCAACGAUGCAUAGCCGACCUGAGAGGGGGACGGCCCCAACUGGAACUAGACCAGGGCCCAGACCCCCAGGGGAGGCAACAGUGGGGAAUUUUCCGCAAUGGGGAAAAGCCUGACGGAGCAACGCCGGGUGGGGGAUGAAGGCCUUCGGAUCGUAAAACUCUGUUAUUGGGGAAAAACAUAUGUUAAAGUAACUGGGCAAAUCUUGACGGUACCAAAUAAAAAAGCCCCGGCUAACUACGG
This 496-nucleotide ribosomal RNA is filed under the name uncultured bacterium. RNAcentral's name for it is "partial 16S ribosomal RNA". It matches the Rfam family "Bacterial small subunit ribosomal RNA", at positions 28 to 506 of the family's 1533-position model. The record is from RNAcentral.